Molecule: ribosomal RNA, 253 nt
Filed under: uncultured bacterium
Lineage: Bacteria
Description: partial 16S ribosomal RNA
Rfam family: Bacterial small subunit ribosomal RNA
Source: RNAcentral
UACGAAGGGGGCGAGCGUUGUUCGGAUUUACUGGGCGUAAAGGGCGCGCAGGCGGCUCAUUUUGUCAGGCGUGAAAGCCCCGGGCUUAACCUGGGAACUGCGUUUGAUACGGAUGGGCUAGAGUUCGGGAGAGGAGAGCGGAAUUCCCAGUGUAGAGGUGAAAUUCGUAGAUAUUGGGAGGAACACCAGUGGCGAAGGCGGCUCACUGGACCGGAACUGACGCUGAGGCGCGAAAGCCAGGGGAGCAAACGGG